GCGUUGUCCGGAAUUACUGGGCGUAAAGAGCUCGUAGGUGGUCUGUCGCGUCAUUUGUGAAAGCCCGGGGCUUAACUCCGGGUUGGCAGGUGAUACGGGCAUGACUGGAGUACUGUAGGGGAGACUGGAAUUCCUGGUGUAGCGGUGAAAUGCGCAGAUAUCAGGAGGAACACCGGUGGCGAAGGCGGGUCUCUGGGCAGUAACUGACGCUGAGGAGCGAAAGCAU
RNAcentral lists this ribosomal RNA (226 nucleotides) under uncultured bacterium. Its description in RNAcentral is "partial 16S ribosomal RNA". It matches the Rfam family "Bacterial small subunit ribosomal RNA", at positions 538 to 762 of the family's 1533-position model. The record is from RNAcentral.